This 356-nucleotide ribosomal RNA is filed under the name uncultured bacterium. RNAcentral describes it as "bacterial SSU rRNA". It matches the Rfam family "Bacterial small subunit ribosomal RNA", at positions 917 to 1271 of the family's 1533-position model. The record is from RNAcentral.
GGACCCGCACAAGCGGUGGAGCAUGUGGUUUAAUUCGAUGCAACGCGAAAAACCUUACCUACUCUUGACAUACUUGGGAGCUCUUGUAAUGAGAGUGUGCCUUAUGGAACCAAGAUACAGGUGCUGCAUGGCUGUCGUCAGCUCGUGUCGUGAGAUGUUCCGUUAAGUCGGAUAACGAGCGCAACCCUUACCCUUAUUUGCCAGCGUGUAAUGACGGGGACUCUAACGGAACUGCCGGUGCAAACCGUGAGGAAGGUGGGGGACGACGUCAAAUCAUCACGGCCCUUACGUCCUGGGCCACACACGUGCUACAAUGGUAGGUACAGAGGGAAGCCACCCCGCGAGGGGGGAGCGGA